This 406-nucleotide ribosomal RNA is filed under the name uncultured bacterium. RNAcentral's name for it is "partial 16S ribosomal RNA". It matches the Rfam family "Bacterial small subunit ribosomal RNA", at positions 29 to 526 of the family's 1533-position model. The record is from RNAcentral.
AUUGAACGCUGGCGGCAGGCCUAACACAUGCAAGUCGAACGAGAGGCGGACGGGUGAGUAGGGUAUGGAAAAGUGGGCGAUGGAGGGGUAUAACUAGUGGAAAAGGUGGAUAAUACUGCAAACCACCGGUUGGGCCGAGAUGGGAUUAGCUAGUAGGUGGGGUAACGGCUCACCUAGGCGACGAGCCCUAGCAGGUCUGAGAGGAUGAACAGCCACACUGGAACUGAGACACGGUCCAGACUCCUACGGGAGGCAGCAGUGGGGAAUAUUCCACAAUGGGCGCAAGCCUGAUGCAGCCAUGCCGCGUGUAUGAAGAAGGCCUUCGGGUUGUAAAGUACUUUCAGCGGGGAGGCGUUACUCGCACAGGAAGCCCCGGCUAACUCCGUGCCAGCAGCCGCGGUAAUAC